UGGAGCUGCACAAGACAUCAUGAAUCAAGAGCCACUUAGGGGUAUGCUAGGCACUUCUGAAUGAGCAAAGGGCCUCCAGCAGCUCAAAGCAGGCCACUGAGGUGACACAGGUGCUGGUCAUUGAAUAUAAGUGGACAAAGGAUGAAGCCAAGCAGAAAUCCGAUCAGUUUCAGCCUUGGAAAACCUUAGAAAUCUCCCUGCUUCAGACAGUGCAGCACCACAAGAUGGUGAACUUUUGUCAGCCUGCAUCCUUGAAUUAUUUCCUUCUGACCUAUUGUCCUGUUUACCUACUUCAAAAGAUGAAAGUGCUGACCUGCUUCAUAGAAAUGUUGUUUAAUUAAUACAAGCCCUUCUCAAACAUGAAGAACUAGUACAACUUCUUUGGGAGCUAUGCUGCUAAAAGACAACAUGGGUUUAAAUCUUUAGACUGGAAUAAAUCUAAAAGAGGACAUAAUCGUUGGCUUUCUUCCACUAGUAUUAAAGGACUUUAUAGAUCUUUAAUGAUCUCAGAUGAAAGAAAAUGGAAAAUGUAUGAUCAUUCCAUGACAAGGUGGAAACAUUUCACAGCAGACAGGAACUUUUUCAGUUACCAGCAUUGAAACAGAAUUCCAGGAAUAAGUACUCAGAUG
Molecule: long non-coding RNA, 629 nt
Filed under: Heterocephalus glaber (naked mole-rat)
Lineage: Eukaryota; Metazoa; Chordata; Mammalia; Rodentia; Bathyergidae
Description: lncRNA (ENSHGLG00000038357.1)
Source: RNAcentral